AUGGCCUCCUCCAGCCAACCCCUCUCCACCGGCCUGAACAACACCAUCUCCGAGCCUCUCACACGUACCAACUACAUCCUCUGGCGAGCCCAAGCUCGCUCCCAGAUCAUGGGAGCAGGGCUAUAUGGGUACCUUGAUGAAACCCUACCCGAGCCACCUAAAACCAUCACCACCAAAUCCUCAGACGGGAAGGAUCAGAUCGGUCCGAACCCCGCUCACACCCCAUGGCUCAUCCAAGAUCAACAAAUCGUUGCAUACUUGCUCCGAAAUCUUUCCAAACAAGUCCUGGUGCAAGUUGCUUCCCUCGAGACUUCUCACGCCAUCUGGCCCGCCCUGGCAAACAUGUUCUCA
RNAcentral lists this ribosomal RNA (351 nucleotides) under Triticum aestivum (bread wheat). Its description in RNAcentral is "partial small subunit ribosomal RNA". The record is from RNAcentral. Lineage: Eukaryota; Viridiplantae; Streptophyta; Magnoliopsida; Poales; Poaceae.